AGUGAACGCUGGCGGUAGGCCUAACACAUGCAAGUCGAACGGCAGCACAGUAAGAGCUUGCUCUUACGGGUGGCGAGUGGCGGACGGGUGAGGAAUACAUCGGAAUCUACUUUUUCGUGGGGGAUAACGUAGGGAAACUUACGCUAAUACCGCAUACGACCUACGGGUGAAAGCAGGGGAUCUUCGGACCUUGCGCGAUUGAAUGAGCCGAUGUCGGAUUAGCUAGUUGGCGGGGUAAAGGCCCACCAAGGCGACGAUCCGUAGCUGGUCUGAGAGGAUGAUAGACCCCACAGGACCUGGGACACGGUCCAGACUCCUAAGGGAGGCAGCGGUGGGGAAUAUUGGCCAAGGGGGGCAAGCCUGACCCAGCCAUCCCGGGUGGGUGAAGAAGCCCUUCGGGUUGAAAAGCCCUUUUGUUGGGAAAGAAAAGCAGCAGGUUAAAACCCCGCUUUUCUGACGGUACCCAAAAAAAAAGCCCCGGCAAACUUCGG
Molecule: ribosomal RNA, 491 nt
Filed under: uncultured bacterium
Lineage: Bacteria
Description: partial 16S ribosomal RNA
Rfam family: Bacterial small subunit ribosomal RNA
Source: RNAcentral